This is a long non-coding RNA of Vitis vinifera (wine grape), 1139 nucleotides long. RefSeq lists it as uncharacterized. The transcript has 3 exons. NCBI's taxonomy places the organism in Eukaryota, Viridiplantae, Streptophyta, Magnoliopsida, Vitales, Vitaceae. The record is from RefSeq and is a predicted model, not a curated record.
GUUCCCAUUGAAAAUAAAAAAUAAAAAAUAAACAACAAAAAAAAUGACUGAAGUGCCAAGGAUACAAAUUUGAAAACCUAAUGCUGAUCCUGAAUUUCACCAAUAUCAGAAUUGAAAGAACCUUUGAAGCAUUCUUGAAUUUUGGAUUUAUUUGGGCUCAGAUGUUAUAGGUGGCAUUGAUCAGCUGUGCUGCAUCAUUGCAGUAUCGUUUGCUUUACUAUCUCACACAAAACCUUUCCUUAAGUUUUUCCCACCUUUAUUAUCAAUUUCUUAGUUUCUGUGUAGUUGGGAAGAUGCUGUCAAAUUUUCUCUGGUAUCAACUUUGAUUCAUUAUUUUCUGUUUUGGUUGCAGGUUGUAUGCAGAGAUUACCCUCACUCACGGGACCAAUGUGCUAAAUUUCCUUUUAAUUCUACCACACAUGAUAGGCACUGUGACCAGUGCCAUUGUUAUGUCUGCGAUUCGCUUGCCCCUUGUGGCCAUUGGGGGACUGGUAUGAACAUUGUUGACCAUUGUCAUGCCACUAAUAAAGAUCAGUUUUGGGUAAAUCAGAUGAAAAGUUUCAGGCUAGGGAAAAGUCAGCAAGUACCUAUUCAAAAACACGCCACAGCAUUGCCCCAAGUUAGCCAAAAUUCAUCAUUUGAACGUUGGUUUUGGAUGAUCAUGAAAAUCUGCGAUUUCUGGUGCUUUGAAGCAUCUGGGUUUCUUACUUUCAAGGAAUCCCGAUUGAAUUAUGAUAACUGACCUUGGUUUUUUUGUUUUUUUUUUUAUAUUACGUGGUGCCUUUGAUCAGUAGUUCGUGCACUUUUUGAAGAGAGCCAUUACUUUUUGUACAUGAUAAUUGGACUUUUCUUCCAUCAAUCAGGUACAGCGAGUGGGAUGUACAAAGCUUCAGUGUGUCUUUUGGUAUUGAAUUGGGUGGUUUAAGUCUGUAAUCAUCAAGCCCUGCUUUGGAUCCAUUACCCUGGUUUUACAAACGGUACAAGGAUCUGGCCUUUUCCAAGGUUUGAAUAGUUUGUGGUGGUGUUCUUGACUGGUAUCAUGGCUAGCUUGUCGCAUCCUAUUUCUAGACGCAAGUAUUCUUGGUGGUGGGACAGCCACAUAAGUCCCAAAAAUUCCAAAUGGCUUCAGGAAAAUCUUA